CUUUAAUACCGUUCUCAGAUAUGGCUUCAUGUUAACUGACGUAAAUAUUUUCAUAGAUGGUAUUACGAACGGUUACGUCUUUAUCUUCGACAGGCAGCACCAUUUCGUCUAAAGGAAGUCCAUGUCUUAAAUGCGCCAUCCAUCGUAGAAAUAUUAAUGAACACAA
Molecule: long non-coding RNA, 166 nt
Organism: Wasmannia auropunctata (little fire ant)
Lineage: Eukaryota; Metazoa; Arthropoda; Insecta; Hymenoptera; Formicidae
Exons: 2
Source: RefSeq, a predicted model, not a curated record